GUUUUGACCACACUGCUUUCUGGCUUCCUGACUUCGACUCGUCUUUCGGUACGCUUGACUUUCUGGAACCCUGACAUCGGCUUGCUUCCUCGGCCUGCUCUUAGACUGCUUCUCCACAAGAAAAUCAUCCACCCAGAUGCAUUUGCCAUAGCAAAAUCCUGCCCUUGGAACUGAAUCACAGACAUUUAAAUUUAAUUUCUGCUGAUUUAAUUUCUGCUGCUUAUGAAGGAAGACAGAGACAGAGAGAUUUGAGUGAGGAGUUAGAGACAUUUUGGAUCAAGAAGGAUUCCAGAGGAAUUGUUGCUGGAGAAUCAGUAACUGUACAAAUAGUGCUGACAAAGUUUUAGUGAGCAUGGCUUGUAAUGUUGUGAUUGUGGCAUGUGUCUCUGUGUUCUUGAAGUAAAAUGAUCAGGGUAUU
This is a long non-coding RNA of Sceloporus undulatus (fence lizard), 418 nucleotides long. RefSeq lists it as uncharacterized. The record is from RefSeq and is a predicted model, not a curated record. The transcript has 3 exons. NCBI's taxonomy places the organism in Eukaryota, Metazoa, Chordata, Lepidosauria, Squamata, Phrynosomatidae.